UUUCUUGCAUUUGAUUUUAUAUUUCCCUGAGCUUUUCUCUAAUUCUUUCCCCUUCAUUUCAUCUAUUAUGUCAGUUUGUCUCAACUCCUAAACACCGAUCUUCACUUGACUCUCUCUAUUUGUCCAUAAAAUAGUUAUCUGUUCAUCUCUAUGUAAUCCCAGUAACUCUUUGUGCUGUAUUUGCUCUGUCUUCUGUGUCUUUUUGGAGUAGAUUAAAAAUAUC
RNAcentral lists this unclassified non-coding RNA (223 nucleotides) under Hevea brasiliensis (rubber tree). The record is from RNAcentral. Lineage: Eukaryota; Viridiplantae; Streptophyta; Magnoliopsida; Malpighiales; Euphorbiaceae.